UACGUAGGGUGCGAGCGUUAAUCGGAAUUACUGGGCGUAAAGUGUGCGCAGGCGGCCGAGCAAGUCGAGUGUGAAAUCCCCGAGCUUAACUUGGGAAUUGCGCUCGAAACUACUUGGCUGGAGUGUGGCAGAGGGGGGUGGAAUUCCACGUGUAGCGGUGAAAUGCGUAGAGAUGUGGAGGAACACCAAUGGCGAAGGCAGCCCCCUGGGCCAACACUGACGCUCAUGCACGAAAGCGUGGGGAGCAAACAGG
This 253-nucleotide ribosomal RNA is filed under the name uncultured bacterium. Its description in RNAcentral is "partial 16S ribosomal RNA". It matches the Rfam family "Bacterial small subunit ribosomal RNA", at positions 524 to 776 of the family's 1533-position model. The record is from RNAcentral.